Molecule: non-coding RNA, 6295 nt
Organism: Monodelphis domestica (gray short-tailed opossum)
Lineage: Eukaryota; Metazoa; Chordata; Mammalia; Didelphimorphia; Didelphidae
Source: RefSeq, a predicted model, not a curated record
AGAUAUAGGGUGCAGAUGCACGCGUGCCGUACGACGCUCGAGGCUAUGUUCCCACCACAAGUUCCCCUGGGGCUAGGAGACACAGAGGGAGGCGGGGCAAGGGGUGGGGCGACGACCGCGGGACCCGCGGAACCUCUCUGCUUUCGCCCUCUCUUUUUCCCAGCGCGCUCCCGCCGCUGUGCAAAACCGGAGAAUUUAGGCUCGGAGCCGCGCUCGCUCGCUCGUGCGCGCGCGCCCUCGCCGGGAGGAGCGGCUGAGGGCGGAGCUCCUCGAGAGAGGAAGAUGGCGGCGGCGGCGGCGACGAGCGGACAGACUUCGGUGGUUCCCUACGAGUGGAUAAAAAACUGGGAGAAAGUGGGCAAGCUGGAAUUUGUGCAGCUAUGUCGAGCCCUCUGUGAAAAUAAAAACCGUGAACAUUUGAUUUUCAGAGAUCUCCAGCAAGUUAUCUAUGAGCUAUCAUAUCAUGUUAUAAGGGGAACUCUAAAGCCUGAACAAGCAUCAAAUGCUCUCAGUGACAUUAUUGACUAUCGUGAGGAUAUGCCCUCCAUCCUAGCUGAUGUAUUCUGCAUCUUAGAUAUUGAGACAAGUUGUUUAGAAGAAAAAAGCAAAAGAGACCAUUUUACACAGUUGGUGUUAUCCUGUUUGUAUUUAGUUUCAGACACAAUCCUAAAGGAACGUUUGGAUCCAGAAACCUUGGAAUCUUUAGGACUUAUUAAGCAGUCGCAACAAUUCAACCAAAAAUCUGUUAAAAUCAAGACAAAACUUUUUUAUAAGCAGCAAAAAUUCAACCUCUUAAGAGAAGAGAAUGAAGGUUAUGCAAAAUUGAUUGCAGAAUUGGGGCAGGAUUUGUCUGGAAGUAUUACUAGUGACUUAAUCUUAGAAAAUAUCAAAUCUUUAAUAGGAUGUUUUAAUCUGGACCCGAACAGAGUUCUGGAUGUCAUUUUAGAAGUCUAUGAAUGCAGACCAGAAUAUGAUGAGUUCUUUGUACCUUUAAUAGAAUCCUAUAUGUAUAUGUGUGAACCUCAAACACUAUGUCAUAUUCUUGGAUUCAAAUUUAAGUUUUAUCAGGAACCAAAUGGAGAAACACCAUCAUCUUUAUACAGAGUUGCAGCAAUACUUCUGCAGUAUGAUCUUAUUGAUUUAGACGAUCUUUAUGUUCAUCUUCUUCCAGUGGAUAAUACCAUUCUCGAUGAACACAAACAAGAAAUUGUGGAAGCCAAGCAAAUUGUUAGAAAACUUACCAUGCUUGUCUUGUCUUCUGAAAAGAUGGAUGAGAGAGACAAAGAAAAGGAAAAAGAGGAGGAGAAAACAGAUAAGCCACCUGACAACCAGAAACUUGGUUUAUUGGAAGCUCUGUUAAAGAUUAGUGAUUGGCAACAUGCACAAAACAUUAUGGAUCAGAUGCCCCCAUUUUAUGCUUCUUCACACAGGCCAAUAGCCAUUGCUCUUUGCCAGCUUAUCCAUGUUACUAUUGACCCCCUCUACCGAAGAGUUGGUGUACCUAAAGGUGCUAAAGGAUCAAUUGUUGCUCUGUUGCAAAACAAGCGAGCACCAAAACAGGCAGAGAGUUUUGAAGAUAUGAAGAAAGAAGUAUUCGAUAUGCUCUGUCAUCUUGGUCCUCACCUUUCUCAUGAUCCCAUUUUGUUUGCCAAAGUGGUGCGCUUAGGGAAAGCAUUUAUGAAAGAGGAUUAUAGAUUUAGAAUGGAAGUUCCCUUGAGGUUUCAGGCUGAUGGAAGCAAACAAGAAGAAAAAGAGAGAAUGGAAAUUUUGCUUAGCUGUUUGCUGACUAUUACAGAUGAGGUGCUACUUCCUUCUCUUUCUUUGAUGGAUUGCAAUGCUUGUAUGUCUGAAGAACUAUGGGGAAUGUUCAAAUCAUUUCCAUAUCAAUACAGGUAUCGUCUGUAUGGUCAGUGGAAGAACGAAACUUAUAAUAGUCAUCCACUUUUGGUAAAAGUUAAAGCUCAAACAAUAGAUAGAGCCAAAUAUAUAAUGAAGCGAUUGACAAAAGAAAAUGUGAAGCCUUCUGGAAGACAAAUUGGGAAAUUGAGCCACAGCAACCCAACCAUUUUGUUUGAUUACAUUUUAUCACAAAUACAGAAGUAUGAUAACUUAAUAACACCAGUAGUAGACUCAUUGAAAUACCUCACUUCAUUGAACUAUGAUGUCUUGGCCUAUUGCAUCAUUGAAGCUUUGGCUAAUCCAGAGAAGGAAAGGAUGAAACAUGAUGACACAACCAUCUCAAGCUGGCUUCAGAGUCUAGCAAGUUUUUGUGGUGCCGUUUUUCGUAAAUAUCCAAUUGAACUUGCUGGUCUUCUUCAGUAUGUGGCAAAUCAGCUAAAAGCAGGAAAAAGCUUUGACCUACUUAUUUUGAAAGAGGUGGUACAAAAAAUGGCAGGAAUUGAAAUAACUGAAGAAAUAACAAUGGAGCAGCUAGAGGCCAUGACUGGUGGGGAACAACUUAAAGCUGAGGGUGGCUACUUUGGACAGAUCAGAAACACUAAAAAAUCCUCUCAGAGGCUAAAGGAUGCAUUAUUGGACCAUGAUCUUGCUCUUCCUCUAUGCUUGCUUAUGGCUCAACAGAGAAAUGGUGUCAUUUUUCAGGAAGGAGGAGAGAAACACUUAAAGCUGGUGGGAAAAUUAUAUGACCAGUGUCAUGAUACUCUGGUACAGUUUGGUGGCUUUUUAGCAUCUAAUUUAAGCACAGAGGAUUAUAUAAAGAGAGUGCCUUCAAUUGAUGUGCUUUGUAAUGAGUUCCACACACCUCAUGAUGCAGCAUUUUUCCUGUCUAGGCCUAUGUAUGCACACCAUAUUUCAUCAAAGUAUGAUGAACUUAAAAAAGCUGAGAAGGGAAGUAAGCAGCAACAUAAAGUUCAUAAAUAUAUCACAUCAUGUGAGUUAGUGAUGGCUCCAGUCCAUGAGGCAGUGGUCUCCUUGCAUUUGCCAAAAGUAUGGGAUGACAUCAGCCCUCAGUUCUAUGCCACAUUUUGGUCAUUGACAAUGUAUGACCUUGCAGUUCCACGUAACAGCUAUGAAAGAGAAGUCAAUAAAUUGAAAGUCCAGAUGAAAGCAGUUGAUGACAAUCAGGAGAUGCCUCCAAAUAAAAAGAAAAAAGAGAAGGAACGUUGUACUGCCCUUCAGGACAAGCUUCUCGAAGAAGAGAAAAAACAGAUAGAACAUGUCCAGAGAGUUCUGCAGAGACUAAAGCUGGAAAAAGAUAACUGGCUUUUAGCAAAAUCUACAAAAAAUGAGACCAUCACAAAAUUUCUACAGUUGUGUAUAUUUCCUCGCUGCAUUUUUUCAGCAAUUGAUGCUGUUUACUGUGCUCGUUUUGUAGAAUUGGUGCAUCAGCAGAAAACUCUUAAUUUUUCCACACUUUUGUGCUAUGAUAGAGUUUUCUCUGAUAUAAUUUAUACAGUAGCAAGCUGUACUGAAAAUGAAAGUAGUCGCUAUGGAAGAUUCCUCUGCUGCAUGUUAGAAACUGUGACAAGGUGGCAUAGUGAUAGAGCAAUAUAUGAAAAGGAAUGUGGAAACUAUCCAGGCUUCCUUACAAUUUUACGGGCAACUGGAUUUGAUGGUGGAAACAAAGCUGAUCAGUUAGACUAUGAGAAUUUUCGGCAUGUGGUGCACAAGUGGCAUUAUAAACUAACAAAGGCAUCUGUGCAUUGUCUUGAAACGGGUGAAUAUACUCACAUCAGGAACAUUCUUAUCGUGCUGACCAAAAUACUUCCUUGGUAUCCCAAAGUUUUGAACCUGGGCCAGGCUUUGGAACGAAGAGUACAUAAAAUCUGUCAAGAAGAAAAAGAGAAGAGACCUGACCUAUAUGCAUUGGCUAUGGGCUAUUCUGGGCAGUUGAAAAGUAGAAAGCCAUACAUGAUACCUGAAAAUGAAUUCCACCACAAAGAUCCUCCCCCAAGGAAUGCUGUUGCUGCCACUGUACAAAAUGGGCCCGGUGGUGUUGGCCUAUCUACAUCACUCACAAUAAAUGCAGCUAAAUUGGAAGAAAGCACUACUGAGGAGACUGAUAAAGGAAAGGAGAAGUCUCAGGGUGCUGUGAAAAUUGCCAAUAAAGCUGCCAAUUCAACACCAAAAGCGACUCCAAAUAACGGGAACAAUGCUUCUAAUAGCAAAGUGACUAAAGAAAAUGACAAAGACAAAAGUGGGAAAGAAAAAGACAGAGAUAAAAAAGAAAAGACUCCAGCUGCCACUCCAGAGGCCAAGGCACUUGGUAAAGAUGGUAAAGAAAAACCAAAGGAAGAGCGGCCAAACAAAGAUGAUAAGGCAAAAGAGAUCAAGGAAAAAACACCCAAAUCUGACAAGGAGAAGGAAAAAUUCAAGAAGGAUGAAAAAUCUUCUAAAGAUGAAAAAUUCAAGACAGUUGUUACCACCACUGAAUCAAAAUCAGCUGUAGAAAAGGAAAGAGACAAGGAACCAUCCAGAGAGAAAGAUGUAGCGAAGGAAACGAAAUCCAAGGAAAAUAAUAAAGGAGGAGAAAAGACACCAGUUGCUGGGUCCUUGAAGUCACCUGUUCCCCGAUCAGAAACAUCAGAGUCUGAAAGGGAACAAAAACGCCGCAAACUUGAUAGCCACUCUUCUCCAUCACAUUCCUCAACAGUAAAGGUUAGUAUAGCCUGAGGAAGGCAGCGUCCAUGUUAGGCUCACCUGUUUGGAAUACCAGUGUCCCGACUUCCUUCAAGUCUUGUGCCUUCAUUGGAGCCACUGGAGGUUUUGUAUUGCAUUACACAAUGCAUUCCUUGUCUGUAUUGGUGGACUUUUUUUCUGUUGCAUAUUUUUCUUAAUAAAACUUCAAGGACCUAGCACAAAUUUGUAAAUAGUGUUUGCAAAGUGCAAGAGAAAUUUUACCCAGAAGUGCCUUAUUGUUUUAAGCAGUCCUUUUUUUUGGAGUGCAAUGGUAGCUACAAGCAAAUGAGUCUUGGCAACAGAAUGGAGCCUAUUUUUUUCUGCAUUCAUAUUGAAGAAUAUAUAGUACCGAAGACUUCCUGGAUGAUACGGGAUAAACAAGAUACCUCUGAAUUCAUCAGGCUUCUUGAUGAGCAUCAUACCGAUGUGUGCCUUUCUAAGAAGGAAUCUUGAAAGGAGUUCCAUUUUAAAGUCUCCUUGGUGAUCAGUUCUCCUGUAGUUGUAUAUAUUCAGUGAGCAUGCAGCUUCUGUUGUGUCUUCCCUUGGAGGUUUGUUUAUAUCCAUUGGGUUCCCAAGAUGUUGAACCCAGCGUUACGAUAAAAGCAGAUGUGGCAUCCAGUCCUACCACCCAGCAAAGAGAAACCUCAGGCAUUCAACUGCAGCACAAAAUCGUGGGUGUAGCCUUCUUGAAGACUCAGGGUAGCCAUUCCUUGCUCCAUGUUUAAUUUUAAUUCUAAAUCAUCUAAGUUCAUGGAAUCUUUGAAUUUGCAGUACGUUGAACCUUUAAAACUGACAACCUCAGCGAGCUCAAGGAGUCAUCGACAAAGGUGAAAUGGAAAGAUUGUCAUCUUUGACCAGAAAUGUCUUUUCCUAAGUAGAUGGCACAGAAAUUUGUGAACAAAGAGGACCCAUCUACAUCUCCUUAAAUUAUUCAGUUUUCUGCUUUAUUUUCCCCAUGCUGAAAACCUAAAAAUUAUUGAGUUGUGCAUUUCUGUAUUUUAACUUGUUGCUUAGAUUGGUUCUUCCACAUUUAUUUUCAGUACAUGGCUGAAAGUGUUACUUAUUCCCUAUUUUUUUUUAGCACAAUGUGCUGCAAACAGUUGCCAUGGAGCAAAUAAGGAGGUUACAUGUAUACUAGAAUUUCAGUUUAGAUUAUCUAAAUACUGCCUGGGUUUAGUCAUUCUGUCAAUUUUCAAUGCAUUCUUUUUAUUGUUGGAAACAAAAUAAACAGCAGCUGUUUAACCCUUUUGAAGUUACCUCAUUGAAAACUCCGUUUUUAUUUCUUAUUUGACCUGUUUUUUAAUAUCAGUGACUAAAAGCCAGUGGGGAGCACUGUUUCAUGCAGUCCUUAGGAAUUCUUUGUUUAUUAUGUGUACAACAUUUAAAUUUGUUUUUAAAGAGAAAAGUAAUAAGUUCAGCUGUCACUUGGCCCCAUAACCUUUUCCUUUGUCCAUGCUGUUUUUAAAUAAAUUGGGAAAAAUGAAUCCCUCAAAAAAACCAAAAUAAAUUUAAGCUUCAUUCAGUUCUACAGCUACAGGAGCUUUUUAUCACUAAACUCUAGUCCAAAAAGUUUCAUAAUGGCAUUAAAAAAUUUUUUUUAAUCGACUGAAUUCUACCAGUGUAACCUUUUUUUCUAAAUAAACAAUAGUUUUCUCAA